This 519-nucleotide ribosomal RNA is filed under the name uncultured bacterium. RNAcentral's name for it is "bacterial SSU rRNA". It matches the Rfam family "Bacterial small subunit ribosomal RNA", at positions 26 to 518 of the family's 1533-position model. The record is from RNAcentral.
AGGACGAACGCUGGCGGCGUGCCUAAUACAUGCAAGUCGAACGGUCUUUUUAUGGAAGCUUGCUUCCACUGAGAAGAUAGUGGCGAACGGGUGAGUAACGCGUGGGUAACCUGCCCAUAAGAGGGGGAUAACAUCCGGAAACGGGUGCUAAUACCGCAUAGUUUUCUUGAUUGCAUGAUUGAGAAAGGAAAGACGGCCUUUGUGCUGUCGCUUAUGGAUGGACCCGCGGCGUAUUAGUUAGUUGGUGAGGUAACGGCUCACCAAGACGAUGAUACGUAGCCGACCUGAGAGGGUGAUCGGCCACAUUGGGACUGAGACACGGCCCAAACUCCUACGGGAGGCAGCAGUAGGGAAUCUUCCGCAAUGGACGAAAGUCUGACGGAGCAACGCCGCGUGAGUGAAGAAAGGUUUUCGGAUCGUAAAACUCUGUUGUCAGAGAAGAACAAGUUGGAGAGUAACUGCUCCAGCCUUGACGGUAUCUGACCAGAAAGCCACGGCUAACUACGUGCCAGCCGCCGC